Molecule: transfer RNA, 69 nt
Filed under: Ariosoma meeki
Lineage: Eukaryota; Metazoa; Chordata; Actinopteri; Anguilliformes; Congridae
Description: tRNA-Glu
Rfam family: tRNA
About the family: Transfer RNA (tRNA) molecules are approximately 80 nucleotides in length. Their secondary structure includes four short double-helical elements and three loops (D, anti-codon, and T loops).
Source: RNAcentral
GUUCCCAUAGUUGAAUCACAACGAGGGUUUUUCGUGCCCUAGGUCCCGGUUGGAUUCCGGGUGGAAAUU